UUUUCAUUGGAGAGUUUGAUCCUGGCUCAGGACGAACGCUGGCGGCGUGCUUAACACAUGCAAGUCGAACGGAAAGGCCCCUUGGGGGGUACUCGAGUGGCGAACGGGUGAGUAACACGUGAGUAACCUGCCCUUGACUUCGGGAUAACUUCAGGAAACUGGGGCUAAUACCGGAUAGGAAUCCUUGCUGCAUGGUGGGGGUUGGAAAGCUUCGGCGGUUUUGGAUGGACUCGCGGCUUAUCAGCUUGUUGGUGGGGUAGUGGCUUACCAAGGCUUUGACGGGUAGCCGGCCUGAGAGGGCGACCGGCCACAUUGGGACUGAGAUACGGCCCAGACUCCUACGGGAGGCAGCAGUGGGGAAUAUUGCACAA
RNAcentral lists this ribosomal RNA (371 nucleotides) under Cutibacterium avidum. RNAcentral's name for it is "bacterial SSU rRNA". It matches the Rfam family "Bacterial small subunit ribosomal RNA", at positions 1 to 371 of the family's 1533-position model. The record is from RNAcentral. Lineage: Bacteria; Bacillati; Actinomycetota; Actinomycetes; Propionibacteriales; Propionibacteriaceae.